AAGCCAUGUUGAGGAUAAUUUCUUAAAUGACCUUUGUACUUCUCCCAAGCUACGUAUAAGAAUUCACCUAUUUCUUGUUGGAUGUAGUAAUCUUCUUCUUUAGUUU
Lactuca sativa (garden lettuce) is the source of this 106-nucleotide small nucleolar RNA. The record is from RefSeq and is a predicted model, not a curated record. Lineage: Eukaryota; Viridiplantae; Streptophyta; Magnoliopsida; Asterales; Asteraceae.